CCUACGGGUGGCUGCAGUGAGGAAUAUUGGUCAAUGGACGCAAGUCUGAACCAGCCAAGUAGCGUGCAGGAUGACGGCCCUCCGGGUUGUAAACUGCUUUUAGUUGGGAAUAAAAGAGGGCUCGUGAGACCCGUAUUGUAUGUAUCAUCAGAAAAAGGAACGCCUAAUUCCGUGCCAGCAGCCGCGGUAAUACGGAAGGUCCUGGCGUUAACCGGAUGUAUUUGGUUUAAAGGGAGCGUAGGCCGGCUUUGAAGUCAGCUUGUAAAGUCCGCGGCUCAACCGUGGAAUUGCAGUUGAAACUGGAGGCGUUGAGUGCACACAGGGAUGCCGGAGUUAAUGGUGUAGCGGGGAAAUGCUUAGAUAUCAUGAAGAACUCCGAUCGCGAAGGCAAGUGUCCGGGGUGCAACUGACGCUGAGGCUCGAAAGUGCGGGUAUCAAACAGGAGUAGAUACCCGAGUAGUC
RNAcentral lists this ribosomal RNA (462 nucleotides) under uncultured bacterium. RNAcentral describes it as "partial 16S ribosomal RNA". It matches the Rfam family "Bacterial small subunit ribosomal RNA", at positions 338 to 795 of the family's 1533-position model. The record is from RNAcentral.